GGAAACGUAGAGAUGAAUAAAUAAGUCACAGGCCUUGGUCCCUUGGAGUUCACAGUCUAAUGGGGAAGACAGGAUAUAAGCAAGUAGUUUCAGCAUAGCUUUGGAAUUGCAUGCAGAGAAGUGAGUGAAGUGAGUGAGGGCCCAGCCAAGGCUGGAGUAAAGUGGCAUGAUCUCGGCUCACUGCAGCCUCCGCCCCCGCCAGGUUCAAGUGAUUCUCCUGCCUCAGCCUCCCGAGUAGCUGGGAUUACAGGCGCAGGCCACCAUGCCCAGUCAGAGAGAUCAAGGAAGGCUUCCCUAAGGAAGUGGUGCAGAGCUGAGAUCGGAAGAAGCAGGGAUGUUCUCCACAGAAAGAACAUGCUCAGAAGCCCAGUCAGCAGCAGGAAGGAGUGUGGUGAUUUUGAGGAACCGAAAGAAGACCAGCAUGGCUGGAGAACAGAGGAUGGGGGUGUGAUAUGUGACGAGCGAAGAGAAGUCACCCGUACUUCAUUUACCAGUCCUUGCUAAGGAUUAUUCAUUAAAACACACAACAGCAACAAUAACCACAAAAGCAACAAUAAAAAUACCUUUGAACUCACUCAAUCUUGAACUAUUGAACAUGCUAAGUCCGUGUCAUUGGCCUACUUAAUCAGCCCUCGAUUGUAACUUGAAGAAGCUUAUUGAUAAGAAAAUAAACUUCUCAUAAAGUAUAACUACUUUCUUA
This 700-nucleotide long non-coding RNA is filed under the name Homo sapiens (human). Its description in RNAcentral is "HSALNT0327062". Lineage: Eukaryota; Metazoa; Chordata; Mammalia; Primates; Hominidae. The record is from RNAcentral.